GGGGGAGCUUGUUGUCUCACCUCAAGCGGAAACUGAAAACUUUAAAGGGUUAAUCCAACCACCAUGAUGACUUCAGUAAUUUGAAGUGGUCAUGGUGUUAGGAGUCUGUAUGUGCAGCAUUUCAGCUUGGAAUACUGCACAUGUGGAGUUAUUUGUACUUGUGUGCCCAGGGCUAUUUGCACCACACUUGGCACACCAUCAACACACUGUGUUCUGGGCUGGCUAAUGUCAAUUCUGUACAUAUUUUACGUCUCAGACAACAGGCAUGAUAAUCUUCUCCUUGCACUUAGAGAAGCUAACUCUCCC
Non-coding RNA from Pelobates cultripes (western spadefoot toad), 306 nucleotides. The record is from the annotation of a GenBank genome assembly. NCBI's taxonomy places the organism in Eukaryota, Metazoa, Chordata, Amphibia, Anura, Pelobatidae.